CAGUAGCCGCGGGAAUACGUAGGGUGCGAGCGUUAAUCGGAAUUACUGGGCGUAAAGCGUGCGCAGGCGGUUGUGCAAGACAGAUGUGAAAUCCCCGAGCUUAACUUGGGAACUGCAUUUGUGACUGCACGGCUAGAGUGUGUCAGAGGGGGGUAGAAUUCCAGGUGUAGCGGUGAAAUGCGUAGAGAUCUGGAGGAAUACCGGUGGCGAAGGCGGCCCCCUGGACAAAGACUGACGCUCAGGUGCGAAAGCGUGGGGAGCAAACAGGAUUAGAUACCCCUGUAGUCCCUGUCUCUUAUAC
This 301-nucleotide ribosomal RNA is filed under the name uncultured bacterium. RNAcentral describes it as "partial 16S ribosomal RNA". It matches the Rfam family "Bacterial small subunit ribosomal RNA", at positions 509 to 807 of the family's 1533-position model. The record is from RNAcentral.